AUGAUACAAGAACGUGGAGACUACAAGUCACUUGAUCCCGCUGAUAUCCUCGAGAGGCUAAACACUCAUGAGUUCCAACUUGCUGAGAAGAGAGAUCUCUAUGGACCAAGCUAUGGCAGAUCACAUGCUCUAAAGGCCAAGGCAGUCUUUGAAUCUGAAGGUGAGGAUUCUGGUAGCAGCCUUGGUGAUCCUGAAGAACUGAGCCAGGAGCUAGCAAUGCUCAUGAGGAAAUUCCAGAAGUUCUCAAGACGUGGUCGCUUUGGCAAAUCCUCAAGAGGUGAUGACAUGAGAUUAGAUUCCUCAUCCUGUGACUACAAGAAAAGAACUUGCGACAAAUCCAAGAAACCCGGUCACUACAUCACUGGUUGUCCUCAUUGA
This 378-nucleotide ribosomal RNA is filed under the name Triticum aestivum (bread wheat). RNAcentral describes it as "partial small subunit ribosomal RNA". The record is from RNAcentral. Lineage: Eukaryota; Viridiplantae; Streptophyta; Magnoliopsida; Poales; Poaceae.